CCCUUAGACGUUCUGGGCCGCACGCGCGCUACACUGACCAGUGCAACAAGCAUCCGUCCUUGGCCGACAGGCCCGGGCAAUCUUUGAACGCUGGUCGUGAUGGGGAUAGACUUUUGCAAUUUUUGGUCUUCAACGAGGAAUUCCUAGUAAACGCAAGUCAUCAACUUGCAUUGAUUACGUCCCUGCCCUUUGUACACACCGCCCGUCGCACCUACCGAUUGAAUGGUCCGGUGAAGCCUCCGGAUUGGCGCGCACCUCGGUGCCGCCGAGAAGUUGGCUAAACCUUACCAUUUAGAGGAAGGUGAAAUCGUAACA
RNAcentral lists this ribosomal RNA (315 nucleotides) under uncultured eukaryote. RNAcentral's name for it is "partial 18S ribosomal RNA". It matches the Rfam family "Eukaryotic small subunit ribosomal RNA", at positions 1470 to 1796 of the family's 1831-position model. The record is from RNAcentral.